CUCAAAUGAUUUUUUAAAAUGCUGUGGUAUUUUGACUAUACAAAGGUAUUGUAAUAAGACUUUAAAUGAGUGCUAAAAGAAAGGAAUUACAAAAAAAGGCUUUUUUAAUUUUAAAAAUUAAAAUUAUUUUUUUUUGUGAAGAAACAAAAAUUUAAAUUAAAGACAAGAAGACCCUAAGAAUUUUUUUUUUUAUUAAAAUAAUAUUUUAUUUUAAAAAUUUAAUUGGGGCGAUUAAUUAAUAUUAAAAACUUUAUUAACAAAAAAAAUGAUCCAUUAUUAAUGAUUAUUUGAUUAAAAUACUCUAGGGAUAACAGCGUAAUAAUUUUUGAUAGUUCUUAUAGAAAAAAUAGUUUGCGACCUCGAUGUUGGAUUAGGAUUCUUUUUUAAUGAAGAAGUAAAAAAAGAAG
This 407-nucleotide ribosomal RNA is filed under the name Amblyomma dissimile (iguana tick). Its description in RNAcentral is "partial 16S ribosomal RNA". The record is from RNAcentral. Lineage: Eukaryota; Metazoa; Arthropoda; Arachnida; Ixodida; Ixodidae.